RNAcentral lists this ribosomal RNA (1068 nucleotides) under Triticum aestivum (bread wheat). RNAcentral describes it as "partial small subunit ribosomal RNA". The record is from RNAcentral. Lineage: Eukaryota; Viridiplantae; Streptophyta; Magnoliopsida; Poales; Poaceae.
AUGGAGCUUGCAAUAGCUGCUGUCAUGCCAACCACGACGCACCGAUGGUGCAAGUGGCACGUGUUCAAGAAGAUGAAGGAAAAGGUAGGUAAUUUAUAUAGGAAGGGUUCCGAAUUCCGCAUCGAAAUCGACAUGCUGAUCAAUGAGAUGAUGACUGUGGAUGAGUUCGAGAAAGAGUGGGAUACAUUAAUGUAUACUUACGGUCUGGAUAAGAACUCAUUCAUGAAGCAAGUCUAUGAUGUUAGAUAUAAGUGGGCAAAACCAUAUUUGAAGGAUAGCUUCUGCGCGAAAAUGUGCAGCACUCAAAGAAGUGAGUGCAUGAACAAUGUUUUGAAAAGUUAUGUAGCAAGAUCAGCACCCCUGAACAGCUUUGUUGUCCAAUUCAACAAACUGUACGCCGACAGAUGUUCCGAAGAGGACUAUGAGCAUGCCCAUAUAAGCAAGGACGAGAUAGUCCUGAAAUUCAAUCUACCAAUAGAACGCCACGCCUCCCGUGUUUGCACAAGAGCAAUGUUUAGGAUUUUUUCUGAGGAGCUAUUCCAUUCUGGACCAUAUGAAGUGAAGGGCAACCAGCUUGAUGGGAAGAUGAUAGUAGAGCAUGUAAAUGCUGAGACCAGGAAACGCUGGUGCAAGGUCAAUUACGAAGUAGAUGUGGACAGAGAAAGCGACACAUACAUAUGCGAGUGUGGCAUGUUUGAGCAUUCUGGCAUUUUGUGCAGGCACAUUCUGAAGGUCAUGCUUCAUGUGAAGCUGCACACAAUUCCAAACCAGUACAUACUAAAGAGGUGGACAAGAAAUGCACGCGACAAUCUACCGAAGCAUCUGAAGUGCUACCAGGAGGAUGCAAGUGUGCAAGUAUCCCAGACAUUCAGACACAAUCUCAUAUACGUGAAAGCACUUGAGCUAGCGAAGUUGGCAAACACGGCUGUCCCGACAUUUCAGCAUGCAAUCAAUAAGUUUCAUGAAAUGCAGGGAGAGCUGCUCAAAAUGAUUGCCAUUGGGGGGUAUGAAAACCCUACAACAAAGAUCAGGAGUUCAUCUGGUACAAUGGGAGACGGGGGGAGCUAG